AGUCGUAACAAGGUUUCCGUAGGUGAACCUGCGGAAGGAUCAUUACAGAAUGAAAAGUGCUUAACUGCAUUUUUUCUUACACAUGUGUUUUUCUUUUUUUGAAAACUUUGCUUUGGUAGGCCUUCUAUAUGGGGCCUGCCAGAGAUUAAACUCAACCAAAUUUUAUUUAAUGUCAACCGAUUAUUUAAUAGUCAAAACUUUCAACAACGGAUCUCUUGGUUCUCGCAUCGAUGAAGAACGCAGCGAAAUGCGAUAAGUAAUAUGAAUUGCAGAUAUUCGUGAAUCAUCGAAUCUUUGAACGCACAUUGCGCCCUUUGGUAUUCCAAAGGGCAUGCCUGUUUGAGCGUCAUUUCUCCCUCAAACCCUCGGGUUUGGUGUUGAGCGAUACGCUGGGUUUGCUUGAAAGAAAGGCGGAGUAUAAACUAAUGGAUAGGUUUUUUCCACUCAUUGGUACAAACUCCAAAACUUCUUCCAAAUUCGACCUCAA
This 487-nucleotide unclassified non-coding RNA is filed under the name Lodderomyces parapsilosis. RNAcentral's name for it is "Candida parapsilosis sequence contains 18S rRNA gene, ITS1, 5.8S rRNA gene, ITS2, 28S rRNA gene". The stretch from base 196 to 349 matches the Rfam family "5.8S ribosomal RNA". Lineage: Eukaryota; Fungi; Ascomycota; Pichiomycetes; Serinales; Debaryomycetaceae. The record is from RNAcentral.